AUUGAACGCUGGCGGCAGGCCUAACACAUGCAAGUCGAGCGGAUGAAGGGAGCUUGCUCCUGGAUUCAGCGGCGGACGGGUGAGUAAUGCCUAGGAAUCUGCCUGGUAGUGGGGGAUAACGUCCGGAAACGGGCGCUAAUACCGCAUACGUCCUGAGGGAGAAAGUGGGGGAUCUUCGGACCUCACGCUAUCAGAUGAGCCUAGGUCGGAUUAGCUAGUUGGUGGGGUAAAGGCCUACCAAGGCGACGAUCCGUAACUGGUCUGAGAGGAUGAUCAGUCACACUGGAACUGAGACACGGUCCAGACUCCUACGGGAGGCAGCAGUGGGGAAUAUUGGACAAUGGGCGAAAGCCUGAUCCAGCCAUGCCGCGUGUGUGAAGAAGGUCUUCGGAUUGUAAAGCACUUUAAGUUGGGAGGAAGGGCAGUAAGUUAAUACCUUGCUUUUUUGACGUUACCAGCAGAAUAAGCACCGGCUAACUUCGUG
RNAcentral lists this ribosomal RNA (484 nucleotides) under uncultured bacterium. Its description in RNAcentral is "partial 16S ribosomal RNA". It matches the Rfam family "Bacterial small subunit ribosomal RNA", at positions 30 to 507 of the family's 1533-position model. The record is from RNAcentral.